AUGCUGAGUGGUGUUGUACCUCCCAGUCUCAUGUGGUGCACUGAAUUGAAGACACCGAACUUUGCAACGAACAAGCUUGAGGGGAAGAUACCAGAGAGUUAUAAGAAUUUGCGGUCCCUGUCGCACCUCUCGCUUGUUGACAAUUGCUUCACCAACUUGUCAACGGCAUUACGAGUCUUGCAGUACCUGCCCAAACUGACGAGCUUGGUGCUCACCAAAAACUUACGUGGUGGUGAGACCUUGCCAAUGGAUGGCAUCAAUGGGUUCAAGAGCAUUCAGGUGCUUGUCUUGGCAAACUGUGCGCUCUCUGGCAUGAUCCCGCCUUGGCUGCAAAGCUUGGAGAGCCUCAGAGUUCUAGACCUUUCAUGGAACAAGUUGAACGGAAAGAUCCCGCUAUGGUUGGGCAAUAUGAAUAAUCUCUUCUAUGUCGAUCUGUCAAACAACUCAUUUAGUGGGGAGCUUCCUGAGAGCUUUACACAGAUAAAGAGUUUAAUUUCAAGUAAUAUUUCGAGUGAGCCUGCAUCAAUAGAGGACUUCCCGUUAUUAUUCAAGAAGAAUUCAGCUGACAAAGGUUUGCAGUACAAACAUGUCAGCAGCUUCCCGCCGUCGCUGAUCCUCUCCAAUAACUUGCUUUUUGGGCCUGUGUUGCGUGGGCUUGGCCAUCUUGUGAAUCUUCAUGUACUGGACUUGAGCUGGAACAACUUCUCAGGGGCCAUCCCUGAUGAGUUGUCAAACAUGUCGAGCCUGGAAGCUCUAAAUUUGUCCCACAAUGAUCUCAGUGGGAGCAUACCAGCAUCUCUAACAAAGUUGACAUUUCUGUCCAAGUUUGAUGUCUCUUACAACAAGUUGGCUGGAGAUAUACCAACAGGGGGCAAUUUUCCACAUUCGCGAAUGAGGACUUUGUGGGCAAUUCUGCACUCUGCCUUCUUCGGAAUGCCUCCUGCACUGAAGAGGCUCCAUUUGUGGAAACUAGAAAUGAGCAGCAUCGUGGUACGGAUACUGAAAUGCCUGCGAUGA
Molecule: ribosomal RNA, 1017 nt
Filed under: Triticum aestivum (bread wheat)
Lineage: Eukaryota; Viridiplantae; Streptophyta; Magnoliopsida; Poales; Poaceae
Description: partial small subunit ribosomal RNA
Source: RNAcentral